UAUCAGUAAGCUGAUAAGCGCGAACUGC
This 28-nucleotide small RNA is filed under the name Bombyx mori (domestic silkworm). RNAcentral's name for it is "ovarian small RNA-23526". The record is from RNAcentral. Lineage: Eukaryota; Metazoa; Arthropoda; Insecta; Lepidoptera; Bombycidae.